Molecule: long non-coding RNA, 890 nt
Filed under: Homo sapiens (human)
Lineage: Eukaryota; Metazoa; Chordata; Mammalia; Primates; Hominidae
Description: HSALNT0374438
Source: RNAcentral
AACAGAUGAUUCCAGCCCUGUGCUGAUCGCCUGCCUUCCUCCUGCCAUUCAGAAUGCUGCUGUCUCGUGUACUUACUGUUAAGGAUCCUGGAAAAGGGAGUGGUUCCUCCUAGCUGCAAACAAGGGCGCUACUUUUCUUUUCUCUUUAAUAGAAUUACGUUUUAUAGGUGUGUCUAGGCAACACAAGGGAAUGUGAAAGACUUUCAGAGGGAAUGUUUGUGAAUACAUCUGGUGUGUACUAAAAAGCUGGAAAACCCCUAAGUAAAUGCAAUAUCGAUAGAAAGCGAGUUUCUUGAAGAGUCAUCUGCUAAACUCCACUAGAGUCAUCUCUACACCCAUAGGUCAAAUAAAAGAUUAAUAAUUUAGACAUAUCAGCUGUAAAUUCAUAAGAACCAUAUGGAUGUCCAAGUGGAGGUGGAGGAGGUGAUUAAGAUGGAAAAAGGCAACCAUGAAUGAAGACACACAGAUCCUCAACCUUUAAAACAGGUGUGGUUAAGAGAAAAAAAAAUUGCCAUUAAGGAAUCAGCAAAUAGGAUGUCUGAAGUGAGGAUAUAGCACCUAUCUCUGAGAUUAAAGUCAUCUGAUCAAAAAUGAUGCCUCUGAGACUAUAACAAAGGAAUGAAUAAUGAAAUAUAAGAAUGGGGAUUCUGCACUAACUCUAUGGGGAAGAAAACAAUGCAGAGACGAAGCUUCACCGUGUUAGCCAGGAUGGUCUCGAUCUCCUGACCUCAUGAUCUGCCUGCCUCGGCCUCCCAAAGUGCUGGGAUUACAGGUGUGAGCCACUGAGCCUGGCCCCAGUUUUAAUUGUUAAUACAGUAAUAUCAAUAGAUACAACCUGCAUAAACUAAAGCUCUUUGGGGCCUUCCAUGACAUUAAGAACGUAAGCGGUC